Molecule: long non-coding RNA, 606 nt
Organism: Homo sapiens (human)
Lineage: Eukaryota; Metazoa; Chordata; Mammalia; Primates; Hominidae
Gene: BMS1P14
Product: BMS1 pseudogene 14
Source: Ensembl
AUAGAAUUUAAGAUUACAUUGAAAAUUCAGUACAGAGUAUUUUGCCUUCAUCUGUUGUUUGAGUCUCCCUUCUUUCAGCCAUCCUUCCAUCAGAAAUAGAAUACCAAGUUAAACUUCUUAAUUAGAAUCAGGAAUCAGGACUCUUUGGCUGCUGAUUGAAGGAAGAACUGUCCUUAAAUCCAGAGCAUGAGCCACUGCACCCGGCUGACUGAGGCCAUUCUAAGGAAUAUACAGCAAGCUCUUCACUACCCAUUUUUGUUAACUGAGGUAUAACUAAAUGAUACACAGGCCCAGCACAGUGGCACGAACCUAUAGUCACAGCAACUUGGGAAGCUGAGGUGGGAGGAUUGCUUGAGAUCAGGAGUUUGAGUCCAGCCUGGGCAACACACGUGUAUAGGUCUAUGAGUCUGGAAGAAUGUAUAUAGCCAUGGAAUCACUACCAUGUCAAAACAUAGGGUAUUUCCAUUAUCCCAACAAGUUCCCUCCUGCCCCUCUGCAGUCAAACACUUCCCUCCCCCAGCUCCUGGCAACUGCUGAUCUGAACUGUAGACCUGAAAAUGUCAUUCAGAACCCAUUUCAUCUGGACCCUUCUCUCUGUGUCAACAU